RNAcentral lists this long non-coding RNA (547 nucleotides) under Hordeum vulgare. Its description in RNAcentral is "long non-coding RNA (HVUL_LNC004471)". The record is from RNAcentral. Lineage: Eukaryota; Viridiplantae; Streptophyta; Magnoliopsida; Poales; Poaceae.
CUCAAACCACUCGAUCAUCAAAACAAGGUUGCCUUACAAGAAAAGAAAUUACAAGAGGGGGAGGAAUUGCAUUGGGGCUGUCAUAGACUUGGCCGGGUCCCAUGACCCAACUCCUUCACAUGGAUGAGGUAGGUCGUGCACGUGGCGCAGGAGCGGGUGCCAGCGAUUGCGUAUGGGGACGAUUUCCCCUUCUGUGCUAAGUAAGCUGGGACCGCUGGCGUGCGCCUAAAGUGACUCCCAAAGGUUUCUCGUUUGGUGAAAGGAGAAUAAAGCAGGAGACAAUGCAGGACGUGGAUCAUCCCCGAGCCCACCAGCACGUCAUGAAGAGAAGCUUUUGCAGGCGAAGACUACCUUUGUGAGGGCAGACUACAGUCAUAUCCCCGUUCGAAAAUGGCCGUUGUGGCAACCCAUCCCACCAAUGAUUUUCAGGGGAAGAGGACCAUGGUCAGUAUAUAGGAGAGGCCCGAUCUCUGUAGAAGGGGAUCGAACCUCAUCCCUGGGCUAGGGCAAGAACCCACCUUUGUACUUGUCUUCCACCUCAAGCAAU